Molecule: ribosomal RNA, 583 nt
Filed under: uncultured bacterium
Lineage: Bacteria
Description: bacterial SSU rRNA
Rfam family: Bacterial small subunit ribosomal RNA
Source: RNAcentral
CCUACGGGAGGCAGCAGUGGGGAAUUUUGGACAAUGGGCGCAAGCCUGAUCCAGCCAUGCCGCGUGUGGGAAGAAGGCCUUCGGGUUGUAAACCACUUUUGUCAGGGAAGAAACGGUCUGAACUAAUACUUUGGACUAAUGACGGUACCUGAAGAAUAAGCACCGGCUAACUACGUGCCAGCAGCCGCGGUAAUACGUAGGGUGCAAGCGUUAAUCGGAAUUACUGGGCGUAAAGCGUGCGCAGGCGGCUUUGCAAGACAGAUGUGAAAUCCCCGGGCUCAACCUGGGAACUGCAUUUGUGACUGCAUGGCUAGAGUACGGUAGAGGGGGAUGGAAUUCCGCGUGUAGCAGUGAAAUGCGUAGAUAUGCGGAGGAACACCGAUGGCGAAGGCAAUCCCCUGGACCUGUACUGACGCUCAUGCACGAAAGCGUGGGGAGCAAACAGGAUUAGAUACCCUGGUAGUCCACGCCCUAAACGAUGUCAACUGGUUGUUGGGAGGGUUUCUUCUCAGUAACGAAGCUAACGCGUGAAGUUGACCGCCUGGGGAGUACGGCCGCAGGUUGAAACUCAAAGGAUUGACGG